UGGGAUGACGUCAAGUCAGCAUGGCCUUUAUAUCCUGGGCUACACACACGCUACAAUGGGAAGGGACAAUAGGUUGCGAAGCCGCGAGGCGGAGCCAAUCCAGCAAAACUUCCCUCAGUUCAGAUUGCAGGCUGCAACUCGCCUGCAUGAAGUUGGAGUUGCUAGUAAACGCAGGUCAGCCAUACUGCGUUGAAUACGUUCCCGGGGCUU
This 210-nucleotide ribosomal RNA is filed under the name uncultured Anaerolineaceae bacterium. RNAcentral describes it as "partial 16S ribosomal RNA". It matches the Rfam family "Bacterial small subunit ribosomal RNA", at positions 1175 to 1382 of the family's 1533-position model. Lineage: Bacteria; Bacillati; Chloroflexota; Anaerolineae; Anaerolineales; Anaerolineaceae. The record is from RNAcentral.